Molecule: non-coding RNA, 2681 nt
Organism: Microcebus murinus (gray mouse lemur)
Lineage: Eukaryota; Metazoa; Chordata; Mammalia; Primates; Cheirogaleidae
Source: RefSeq, a predicted model, not a curated record
CCUGACCUCGAGCGAUCCACCGGCGUUGGCCUCCCAGAGUGCUAGGAUUACAGGUGUGAGGCACCGCACCUGGCCUCACUUUUCAGCUUUGUAUUCACAUUGGCAUCCCAGUUGGUGCCCAAACACAUGGGAUUAUCUGAGACAAUAGGAAAGGCAACUGAGACAAAAGACACCUCUCCCCGACUAUCGCCUCAUCUGAAAUUCUACUCUUAAGGAUUAAAUUAUUAAGUCAUCCACAUCAAGGUAUUGAUUCUUCUUCAAUUAUUCAGACCAUUAACAGAAUCUUAAGGAACAGUGUUCUCCAUCCUCAGCUCCCAGCACGUGCCUUGCUCACUCACAGAGGUAUCCAAUAAAUAUUUGUUCAAUAAACGAAUAGACUCCCCUCUCUGAGUUUACUACUGCCUUUCUCUCACCAUUCACCGAAAUCCCCACUCUGCACACCUUGCCUUUAACACUCCCAACUCUGAUAGUUAAUUAUAUUAACUCUGACUUUAAUUAUACUCCUGGAUUUUUUUCCCCAGAAAUAAACAUGCUAGCUACUGGUUAACAGCAAAGACCUUGGCAGCCAAGAUGAAGGACAAAGGUGCUUUCCUGAUAUCUAAUCUCUUCAGCCUAAUAUUUAAACUUUCCAAGAGACACAUUCCACCCCAUGUGCUCCACACGUAUCUGCCAACGUCCCAGUGAGAACCCCCAAUUCCAGCGUGGCUGGCCUCUCCACUCUCCGAGUCAUUUUUGUCCCAGCCUUCAUAAGGGCUCGUGUGUUUAUUCACUCUGCUUUCCUUCUGCCCAUGGCAAUGACGCUCAUUCUUCAGGCUUUCGAUCAAGGAAUAAAUAACUCCUCCAUAAAUCCACCUCAGACCAAGCUGAGCUAAUUCAUCUCUCCUCUGAAAUACUGCAGCACCUAGCAUGAGUACCACUUAUUUGGACACAUAAUUACAUAUUAUCCUGGAACAUAAUCCAAUUGCUCCUACAUUUAUCUUUUCUCUCCGUCUUGACUCUUUAAGCAGGGAAUAUAUUUUAUUUUUCUCAGCUGUUUUUCCUAUAUUUCAUACAGGACCAAGCUGGUUGCUUUUACUCAGUGCUAGAGCUCACUUAGUACUUGUCAAAUUGAGUAACGAAUUCAAAACACUUGACUACAGGAGAGAUGUAGGUAUUGUGACAAAGGUUUAGCUGAAGCCAAAUGAAUUCUAGUACUUGGCAUUGACAGUGAGAUUCACACUGAAGGCCCCUGUUUAAAGACUGCAGUGGGACAGAGCCUGACACGAAGCAUGACAGAGAUCUUUCUCUGAAAUCGGUCCUCCCAAAUAUGGCCUGGCUUUCCUUCUGAAAUACGCUGAAAAAAUUUAUACCAUCAGAUUAAGAAAUUUCAAUUUUUAAAGCAAAUGUUUAUACAUAAUUUGUUCUGGUGGCCAAAUUACUUAAUCUUUCAACUACUAACAGUCAACUCUUCUCAGAUAUAUUGAAAUUUAAGUUGACCCUCCAUCACUGGGUCUAUCUCUACAUUCUAACUUUACAUGUUGAAUGCCUGAUUUCCAGUCUGGAACAUCCUGUCAUACCAGAAGCAAGUACCCUCCUGUUGAGCCACCAGGUGUUGAGGUGAUCAACUGGGACAAGCCACAGUAAAAGGAACAGUUAAGCCGGAUUCACUUACUGUGACAAUGCAGUCAAGAGGCAAAAGAGAAAGGCACUGUCUCCUCAGUGCUCAACACCAGACAAAGUCAGGAGGAUGCAGUGUAGACAGGGGAAUCAUCUCACUGCUAAGGAGCCCUGAAGAAAUGGGCCAGAGACUGGGAGGAGGGAGAGAGGAAAAAGGUCAGAGUGCAGAAGUACUGAGUCAAAGGGCAGAAAAAUGCCCUCAGCCAAGGCUCACAAUAAGGGGUCUUCGAGGAUGUACCUCAAAAGUACUUUAACUGAGGCCCCUAAGAAAGAGACCACUAAAUGGAGGCACAUGGGCUAAGAAUGUAACCAAAUGUAAAAACAUGGCUGACCGGAGGGUAGGGGGCUGGGGAGCCAGGGAGACAUGAGUCCUUUACUGUCACUCCCUCCAGAGACUGCAGUGUACUGGCUGUGCACCAAGUCUGGUCUGGGCAAGGCAGCUUCCCCUCAGGAGGCUUGCCAAGUAAGGCCUUGGAAUGGCCUAUGGUUAGGUCUGAAUGGGCACACACAGAGGAUUCUGGCCUGGAGCCUGACUCUCCAUCUUGAACUGGAGACAAGGUUACUUUUCCACCUCUUGACUUUGGAUUUGGCCAUAUGACUUGCUUUAGCCACUAAGAUGAGGUAGAAGCGAUGAUAAAUAAGUGACAUAUAUACUUACUGUUGUAUGCUGCUGAGAUUCUCUGAUCCUUUCUUACACAGUAAGAGCUCACUGAUACACUCUCCAUUUUGUAACCCCAAAUUAACUGAUGUAUCUAAGCAAUGGAUCUAAGCUGCCAACAUCAUAGGACAAGACACAAACUCAUGUGAUGUGCCUCCUAAUAGAAGUUUAGAACACCAACUGUGAAAUAGACUCGCCAAAAAUCAAACUUGAAAUGCAUCAAGCCUUUAGAUCUAAUUACCAGCUUAUAGGAAACACAGGUAAUGAGAGACCAUAUUAACAGUACUAAGAUCCAGAUUAUGGGAAAUUCUGAAGACAAAUGAUCCAGUUUCUUAAAUAAAUAAUUUGAAAGGUAAAAAAAAAAGAA